This 253-nucleotide ribosomal RNA is filed under the name uncultured bacterium. Its description in RNAcentral is "partial 16S ribosomal RNA". It matches the Rfam family "Bacterial small subunit ribosomal RNA", at positions 524 to 776 of the family's 1533-position model. The record is from RNAcentral.
UACGAAGGGGGCUAGCGUUGUUCGGAUUUACUGGGCGUAAAGCGCGUGUAGGCGGGCCGUUAAGUUGGGGGUGAAAGCCCGAGGCUCAACCUCGGAACUGCCUUCAAAACUGGCGGCCUGGAGCAAGAUAGAGGCGAGUGGAAUUCCGAGUGUAGAGGUGAAAUUCGUAGAUAUUCGGAGGAACACCGGUGGCGAAGGCGACUCGCUGGAUCUUUGCUGACGCUGAGACGCGAAAGCGUGGGGAGCAAACAGG